RNAcentral lists this transfer RNA (74 nucleotides) under Clostridia bacterium. RNAcentral's name for it is "tRNA-Cys". It matches the Rfam family "tRNA". From Rfam's summary of the family: Transfer RNA (tRNA) molecules are approximately 80 nucleotides in length. Their secondary structure includes four short double-helical elements and three loops (D, anti-codon, and T loops). Further hydrogen bonds mediate the characteristic L-shaped molecular structure. tRNAs have two regions of fundamental functional importance: the anti-codon, which is responsible for specific mRNA codon recognition, and the 3' end, to which the tRNAs corresponding amino acid is attached (by aminoacyl-tRNA synthetases). tRNAs cope with the degeneracy of the genetic code in two manners: having more than one tRNA (with a specific anti-codon) for a particular amino acid; and 'wobble' base-pairing, i.e. permitting non-standard base-pairing at the 3rd anti-codon position. The record is from RNAcentral. RNAcentral also lists the same sequence under 1 other name. Lineage: Bacteria; Bacillati; Bacillota; Clostridia.
GGCGCCAUAGCCAAGUGGUAAGGCAUCGGUCUGCAACACCUUGAUCCCCAGUUCGAAUCUGGGUGGCGCCUCCA